AGAACUUUCUAAUGAAAGUGUACACAUUUUUUCCUGGUUGCAGUUGAAAAUGGCUUGGAAUGAAAGUAAAGGCACAAUGUUCUGGAUUGGUGAGCAGCAGUGUUAUGUUGAGUCACUUAUGUCGGUUUUGUUAGGGUCAAACUACACACGUAUCUGGCAAAAUUCUGGCUAAUUCUGGCUGUCUCGUAUAAAAAUAACAACAACAACCCUAUUAGUGUUUUAAGACUUCCGGGCCAUACUCUCUAUUUUCUCCAUUAACGAAAUCCUCAUUUAGUUUUGAUGUCAUAACGCUCAAUGUCAUUUUCAAGCUUUUAUGGAAUAGCUGUGACUUUUAUAGAAAUGGAAUUUAUGUCUUUCCGUCAUUUUUACGUCAUCCGGUGGGCCCCACUGGACCCCGCGAGCCGUAUGUUUGGCACCCCUGCAUUACACAAUUACUCAGUCAUAGGUGAUGAUUUCCUAUCUAUUGAUUAAUUAUGUCCAAUUGCUAACAACUUCACUGCAACAAACCCCAUGUACACUGGCAAUCUUUCAACAUGAGAUGCAAGUACCCUUUUUUCUAAAGUCAUCUUAUGACUUUUUACUUCCUUUUUCGAUGCAGUUUUACACUGUCACUAGCGGUGGCUAAGUGCAGUAACUAACUGCACUUACUGGAGGACUGUAGCUUGAUUUUGAGGUAUUUAGUCAAAUGUUUUGUUUUCCCCUUUUGUGCUCACAACAGAAGUAAAUAUUGGGCUUUUUCAUACGAAACAUAUUGUAUGAUCAGUAAGAAAAUAGAUGCACUAUUAUAGCUCUCGCUAUGAUAAAAUAAUUAAAAACAGCACAGCUGCAACAGUAAUUCUGUGAUAGUAAUCCAAGUUGUUCAGACAAAGCAGACGUGUUUCUGCGUCAGCGCUUUCACUUGACUACAUCUUGCUGGAAACACGGAUAUACUUUAGUUCAGUAAGCUUUCUGAAAACUCCAGUUCCAGUGAAGCAACUUCAUCGCCACCUGUAGAACUCAACGCUAAAACACAAUUACAAGAGCAAUUUUCACCAAUACAGCUCGAGUUGACCAUAGGAAAAUACUGACAGCAACACUGCAAUUGGAGUGUUUUUAAGAAUUUGUAAAAAAAAUCUACAACUGGUGUGUACAAUAAUACAUGGAGGUAAGAUCAUCCACGUGAGUUGCAACACACAAGCUAAUAAGCCCUAUUCAAUAAAGAGGCAACUACUGACAGGCCCCUGUAGGGUUGACCGGACAUUCAUUGAUGCCCUGUGAAGAUGCACCUCUGGCCCUCCAUGGAGCUGUCCCCUUUGAAGGACGGCAUUAUUCUGUUUAACUCUUUUCUAAAUUGACUCAUUGUACAUUAUUAUUUUGUGCCAUCUGCACAUGACGGGCAGAUGGCGUCUCUAAAUGGCCGACCUGUCUGAGUUAUACUUCAAAUGAUUUAAAGUUGUCCCCCUUAAGGCAUCUGUGUGUAAGCCUGUGUGUAGAAUCAUUUAAAUAAAUUGUUAUCACAGUUUUGCGAUGGCGAAGAAGAAUUUUAGUUUGUAGAAAAUGCAGAUAUUCUGAUGAUGACUGAUGAUGUAAUUAUUGUCUUUUUUGAGUCACCAGAGCCAGAAAAUCUAAAAUCCCACAUAAAAUGGCUUGAAAGAAAAGGCCGGGGGCUCAUCAGGUUUUGCUCUUAAGCUGCUUUAAAAAGCAAAGCCUACGUAAAACAGAGAAAUGACUGCUUUUGGUAACUGGCAUCACUAACGCAGUUGCAUAGCUGUAAUCAGCUUUCCUGUUGCUCUGCUUCUCACAUAAAGAAGAUUGGUUUUUAAUUUUCAACCUAAGCUUUUUUACAAUACAUCAAUAGAUUAAAAUAACAAUGUGCUCACUACCAUUACUUAAGCGAUACCUACAGGCCUAUGCAGGAAUUAGCAGUCCAGCCGUAAUGCUUCAAUAAUAUGUUUAGACUGUCACAGUGCAACCUAAAUGCACACCACUGUAUUGCCAACAAUGAGAGGCAAAGUUAUCCUGCCAACACAACUGAGAAAUCAGAAAAAUAGCAAGUGAGAAUCCACAAAUGAAGGUCUUGUGGUUAGUUUAGGGGUCAUAUUUCCAGGACUCAUAGCUGUUCCCAGCACUGCACACAAUGUCUUGAGUUUGAAAUAUAACCUAUACGUUUAGUAUAUUACUUUACACAGGAAUAAUUAAAUAUCAUUAGGAUGAGGAAUAGGGCCAGAAUUCAUGUUUUUUAGGAGGUGAUUUGGCUGUAGAUGCUAAUUUUCAGCAAACAGAUCUUCAAAGCUGCAGCACUGUUAUAGUGCUCCGGCUGUUAUUAUAGAGCUAUGAUUUUAAUAUGCAAUUAUCAUAAUGUCUCUUAUCCCUCUAUGCCACAGAAUCUAAUUAGGCCUUAUCUGUAUCAGCUCCACUCCGACAACUCAUCAGAGCUGAAGGUGUUUAAGAAUAUUAGGUUGGAAAACCAGGUCAUUCAAGACAAAAAUGUUGGCUCGCGUUUCGUUUUGGUAAAUGUUCUUUGCAGGAGAAUCUGCCUGUGGCUCGACGAGGACGUGAGGACAAGGGCACGAACCUUCAUCCACAUUACAAGGAACGGCUCUCGGAAAUUGGCCUGAAUGCAAGGCACAUCUGAAAGGCAAAUGAAAGCAGCUGCUCUUCUCAGUGAGACACAUUUGCUUAAGAUUAGAUCAACAACUAACUCGCAAUUUAGUAUGCUUAGCACACGAAUGGAUGUGCUUGUAAUAUUUUACCAUCAGAGUCUCAAAUAGACCUGCGAUCCAUGUGUGUUCACUAGCUCUCCAUGUCUGCAAUGUUGUGUAACUCCCACUAGAUGUAGCAAAUGACUGUUGGGUCAUUUGCUACAUCUGGCGGUCGGGGAGAUGGUGGCCAGAUGCCGUAGACGCCCAGACGUUUUCAGAGUAUUUUAUAUGUGUAAAUACAUUAGCAGACUAGAUAUUUCCUAUAGCAUACAAUACUCAUAAAGGUAUGUGCCAAAUGAACAAAACUGGGUUGGAGACAACACAAUCUUACAACAGGUAGGUGGGUUUACAAGGAGGCAGCGUUGAGACAAUCUUCUCAGCCUGUUUUAGGUCGAUUCAGCGGACCAGAGGUCAAAUAUGGUAACAGGCAGGAGAAGUAAGGUUAAUCUAGUCACAUAAACCACAGGAAUGUCAGAGACCACAACACAACCUCUGCUUAAGUGUGAUACUUCUAGACUGCAGUGUUUUCUUUCAAAACCAAAACUUCAAAACAGAAAUUAUUAGAAAGGUAAAUAUGAAAAGUUCAAUAUGAUUUAGACCAACAGACAACCAAAAGAAAAUUAACAGUUAAUGAUUCACGGGAUAUGACACAGUUGCUCAGCAUCUGUAAAACCUGAGUUCUCCUGUGGGAUGCCAGAUAAACAGAUCUGUGAUUUGUGCUUGCUUUUCAUUACCCUGAGCAGUUUUCUUUGCCUGAUCCAUGAGGAAAUAAAUCAUUUACUCCGGAUGAAGUUAAUUCUGUGCUCUAACAACAAAUUAACUCAGGAACUUCAUCAGAAAGCCAAUAUUUUCUCAAACCACGGUGUGUCGUUGCCCAGAGGGUACGUGUUUCUGUUUGUUUAGAGUUUAAUGAGGUUGACUGCAUUGCCCCGGUGCGCAAGACCAGCCAAGCAUUGUGCACCUAUUAUUGGAGAAACAUAAUUAAUUCAAGCAGUGGGCUUUAAUAUUCCUCUUAUGAAAAAAAUGCUGUGUAAAAAUACUCUAUGGUGGUCAGGAGUGUAGUAGAAGUACUCAGUACAUAAGUAAAAGUAUUCAAACAGCAAUGUCAAAAUGUGCCUCUUCAAUGGGAUUAACAACAUUUCAUAGAAAUCUUAAACUAGGGGGUUGAAACCUACUAAACUCUAAAAAUGUCAUAUCUAAUCUUAUUAUAUGUGUUUAAGCUGUAGCUGCUUAUACAUGUGGUAGUGUAAAAAGUACAAUGUGUACCAUGAAUACCUCUAAAAUGCAUGCAUGGAGGUGAAGCAUACUAUACACUUAUGUACUUUUGAUUUAUAGUAGUACUCUGCCCAAUGAGUCAAUUUCAUAUUUAGAGUCAUGAAAAGCCAAUAAUGUUUUAUGACCAUAAAUCCAUGGUAGACUAUGUAUUUUUGCACAAUAUAUUAACAACAGUUUUGAACAAAUUCAUGUAUUUCUUUACAGUAUCCUAGGCAACCUAAGGGUACCCAAGGUUUGGAUUUUCACAAUAAAAGCUGGUUGAUUUCAUUCUUCUGAAGAAUCCCCGACAAUAAUUGCUGGCUGCCGCAUUUCCAAUAGAAUUUGACUUGGCUGUCCACCGCUUCUAUUCAGCUUUUGGGUAAAUACAAGAAGAUGGCUUCCAGCUGAUAAAACAAAAUGCCCCUACUGUCAUAUCGCAUGGAGGCAAGUGCAUGAGUGGGAUCACAUCAAGUGCACCCACACAUCGACACACACCCACAUACGUAUUCUAAGUCACCUUCUCUCACACAAACACAUGUGCAAACAAACGCCACUGCACACACAAAAGUAUGUGAUGAAUGUUUUCCCAUCUGUGAGACAUCGAUCAAGGCAGGAAUGAAUAGUGAGUGACGGAGCACACAAUAAAUGAGGCUCCAUUUUAUUUCUUUGAAAGACAAACAAUGCUAAGAUGCUUUGGUCAAUAUGUUCAGAGACAAAUGUCAGUGAAGAAAAGGCUGUAUAACAGCCUUGACAGGAUCCCACCUUGGAGUGAGUUCUUGCACUGAAUACCUUUUCUUCUUUACACACCAGCAACACGCCUCGUUCAAUUAAUUGCCCAAAGAUCAAUGGGAGCUUUCACUUAAAAAUGUGCACCAGUCUCACUGUGAAGCAGCUAAUUUCCCCUGACAAUCUGUUACGCUUUUUUUAAUCGGUACCGCUAGAUCCAGUGCUCAAUAGUAGCUUUUAUGAGGCCUAUGUUUAAAUAUAAGUUGCUAACCUUGAGGAAUCAGGAAGAAACAUGAGAAAGGAACAGUUCGAUAUGCAGCAAAAUUGU
Gasterosteus aculeatus aculeatus (three-spined stickleback) is the source of this 4989-nucleotide long non-coding RNA. The record is from Ensembl. NCBI's taxonomy places the organism in Eukaryota, Metazoa, Chordata, Actinopteri, Perciformes, Gasterosteidae.